UACAGAGGGGGCGAGCGUUGUUCGGAAUUACUGGGCGUAAAGCGUGCGCAGGCGGUUGUGCAAGACAGAUGUGAAAUCCCCGGGCUUAACCUGGGAACUGCAUUUGUGACUGCACGGCUAGAGUGUAUCAGAGGGGGGUAGAAUUCCACGUGUAGCAGUGAAAUGCGUAGAUAUGUGGAGGAAUACCGAUGGCGAAGGCAGCCCCCUGGGAUAACACUGACGCUCAUGCACGAAAGCGUGGGGAGCAAACAGG
Molecule: ribosomal RNA, 253 nt
Filed under: uncultured bacterium
Lineage: Bacteria
Description: partial 16S ribosomal RNA
Rfam family: Bacterial small subunit ribosomal RNA
Source: RNAcentral